CUCCGCCCGCAUAGCAUUCCGCAUCCGAUAGCACGAGCGACAGUCCAUGGGCCACAACAGCCGAAACAGCAUGUUUGGAACACAGGUACCGCUACAAUGUUCACCCGAUGCCCCAAAGGAGGCACAAAGGCGAAAUAUGGGACAGCAACAUCAUUGAAUUCCACUAGUGUGGGUAUGCAACACAGGAACCCGACAUUUGCCCACUUACAAAACAUUCACUUGGGCUAGGACUGAAAGGAUCGCGGGGAAGCAAUU
This 255-nucleotide long non-coding RNA is filed under the name Ricinus communis (castor bean). RNAcentral's name for it is "long non-coding RNA (RCOM_LNC003600)". Lineage: Eukaryota; Viridiplantae; Streptophyta; Magnoliopsida; Malpighiales; Euphorbiaceae. The record is from RNAcentral.